This is an RNA transcript of Glycine soja, 1281 nucleotides long. It is a transcript of the gene named T-complex protein 1 subunit gamma-like, with no coding region annotated. Lineage: Eukaryota; Viridiplantae; Streptophyta; Magnoliopsida; Fabales; Fabaceae. The transcript has 4 exons. The record is from RefSeq and is a predicted model, not a curated record.
AUGUAUUUUGUAUUGUCAACUGCUUGGAACAGGGGGAUAAACUUUGUUGCUAUUGAUCUAAACAAGCCACUACCAGAACAAGGUCAAUUUGGGGAUUUAAUUGCUGACUUAGCCAUUGAAGCUACUACAACAGUAGGUGUUGAGAUUGACCAAGAUGUGGUUUCCCCUGGCAAAAUGUCCAAAAGGUUGUUAACCCACGCAUCAUUCUUCUUGAUUCUCCCCUUGAGUACAAAAAGGGUGAAAACCAAACAAAUGCCGAACUGCUCAAAGAAGAAGACUGGAUUCUCUUAUUGAAGAUGGAAGAAUAAUAUAUUGAGGAGCUAUGCAUGCAGAUAUUGAAGUUUAAACUGGACUUGGUUAUUUUGGACAAGGGUCUGACUGAUUUGGCAACCCAUUAUCUCAGCAAGCAUGGAGUUAGUGCAAUGAGGAGGCUGAGGAAAAGUGAUAAUAAUAGAAUUGCAAAGGCUUGUGGUGCUGUUAUUGUGAACAGACCAGAUGAAUUGCAGGAGUCUGAUGUUGGUACUGGUGCUGGGUUAUUUGAGGUUAACAAAAUUGGAGAUGAGUACUUCGCAUAUAUUGUUGAUUGCAAAGAACCCAAGGCUUGUACUGUUCUACUAAGGGGUGCUAGUAAGGAUCUAUUCAAUGAAGUUGAAAGAAACCCACAGGAUGCCAUGUCUGUUGCAAGGAACAUUAUAAAAAAUCCUAAACUUGUUCCUGGAGGUGGUGCUACAGAGUUGACGGUGUCGGCUGGCUCGAAACAAAAGAUUUCAUCUAUUGAGGGCAUAGAGAAGUGCCCUUAUGAAGCUGCUGCCGUAGCUUUUGAAGCCAUACCACGAACUUUGGCUCAAAAUUGUGGAGUAAAUGUCAUCCGGACUAUGACUGGUCUACAAGGAAAGCAUGCAAAUGGAGGGAUGGCAAGGGAGUGAAGGGACAAAGUGUUCGUGUAUGCUUAUGAGGAUUGAUGAUAUAGUGAGUGGGAUGAAGAAGAAGCAAGCCCCUGGAGCUCCUCCUUCAAAACCCAAGGUUGAGACCGAGGCAGAUGCUGACAGUGAGCAAAUCCUUGCUGACUGAGAAUCUCGGUUCAACAGACAUUGUUGUUUGGUAGAGUUGAUGAUGUUGUGCUAGGUUCUUUAUCUUCCUUAAAUCUUAUCACUAUGCUUAGGAGUUUUGAGUCGUUUAUUGGGAUGUUGUUUUUUGUGCCUUCUACUGUUUGCAAGAGCAAUUUGUGUACUUUGUUGAUGUUAAACACUUAAUUAACUGGCGUAUGCUUUAAAAAAAAAA